AUGACUUCUGUGCCGCCGUUAACGCAUUAAGUAUUCCGCUUGGGGAGUACGGUCGCAAGAUUAAAACUCAAAGGAAUUGACGGGGGCCCGCACAAGCAGCGGAGCAUGUGGUUUAAUUCGAAGCAACGCGAAGAACCUUACCUAGACUUGACAUCUCNUGCAUUACCCUUAAUCGGGGAAGUUCCUUCGGGGACAGGAAGACAGGUGGUGCAUGGUUGUCGUCAGCUCGUGUCGUGAGAUGUUGGGUUAAGUCCCGCAACGAGCGCAACCCUUAUUGUUAGUUGCUACCAUUUAGUUGAGCACUCUAGCGAGACUGCCCGGGUUAACCGGGAGGAAGGUGGGGAUGACGUCAAAUCAUCAUGCCCCUUAUGUCUAGGGCUACACACGUGCUACAAUGGCAAGUACAAAGAGAAGCAAGACCGUGAGGUGGAGCAAAACUCAAAAACUUGUCUCAGUUCGGAUUGUAGGCUGAAACUUGCCUACAUGAAGCUGGAGUUGCUAGUAAUCGCGAAUCAGCAUGUCGCGGUGAAUACGUUCCCGGGCCUUGUACACACCGCCCGUCACACCAUGAGAGUUGGCAAUACCCAACGUACGUGAUCUAACCCGCAAGGGAGGAAGCGUCCUAAGGUAGGGUCAGCGAUUGGGGUGAAGUCGUAACAAGGUAACCGU
This 669-nucleotide ribosomal RNA is filed under the name uncultured bacterium. RNAcentral's name for it is "bacterial SSU rRNA". It matches the Rfam family "Bacterial small subunit ribosomal RNA", at positions 834 to 1503 of the family's 1533-position model. The record is from RNAcentral.